RNAcentral lists this ribosomal RNA (484 nucleotides) under uncultured bacterium. RNAcentral's name for it is "partial 16S ribosomal RNA". It matches the Rfam family "Bacterial small subunit ribosomal RNA", at positions 30 to 507 of the family's 1533-position model. The record is from RNAcentral.
AUUGAACGCUGGCGGCAGGCCUAACACAUGCCAGUCGAGCGGAUGAAGGGAGCUUGCUCCUGGAUUCAGCGGCGGACGGGUGAGUAAUGCCUAGGAAUCUGCCUGGUAGUGGGGGAUAACGUCCGGAAACGGGCGCUAAUACCGCAUACGUCCUGAGGGAGAAAGUGGGGGAUCUUCGGACCUCACGCUAUCAGAUGAGCCUAGGUCGGAUUAGUUAGUUGGUGGGGUAAAGGCCUACCAAGGCGACGAUCCGUAACUGGUCUGAGAGGAUGAUCAGUCACACUGGAACUGAGACACGGUCCAGACUCCUACGGGAGGCAGCAGUGGGGAAUAUUGGACAAUGGGCGAAAGCCUGAUCCAGCCAUGCCGCGUGUGUGAAGAAGGUCUUCGGAUUGUAAAGCACUUUAAGUUGGGAGGAAGGGCAGUAAGUUAAUACCUUGCUGUUUUGACGUUACCAACAGAAUAAGCACCGGCUAACUUCGUG